RNAcentral lists this ribosomal RNA (394 nucleotides) under uncultured bacterium. Its description in RNAcentral is "bacterial SSU rRNA". It matches the Rfam family "Bacterial small subunit ribosomal RNA", at positions 28 to 421 of the family's 1533-position model. The record is from RNAcentral.
GACGAACGCUAGCGGCGUGCCUAAUGUAUGCAAGUCGAGCGGGGUAAGAGACUUGUCUCUUAUUCAGCGGCAAACGGUUGAGUAACACGUAGGCAACCUGCCCCAGAGACGGGGAUAGCCCGCCGAAAGGCGGAUUAAUACCGGAUGUGGCCGGAGGGGACAUCCCCUCUGUGCUAAAGGGAGAAAUCCGCUCUGGGGAUGGGCCUGCGGCCUAUCAGCUAGUUGGUGAGGUAACGGCNCACCAAGGCGACGACGGGUAGCUGGUCUGAGAGGAUGGUCAGCCAGACAGGGACUGAGACACGGCCCUGACUCCUUUGGGGGCAGCAAUGAGGGAUAUUGCACAAUGGGCGAAAGCCUGAUGCAGCGACGCCGCGUGGGUGACGAAGUCCUCGGG